Morone saxatilis (striped sea-bass) is the source of this 6073-nucleotide RNA transcript. It is a transcript of the gene named TAR DNA binding protein, with no coding region annotated. The record is from RefSeq and is a predicted model, not a curated record. The transcript is spliced from 6 exons. NCBI's taxonomy places the organism in Eukaryota, Metazoa, Chordata, Actinopteri, Moronidae.
UUAGAUAAUGCCAUUUUGGUGGGCCUGACGUCUGCGUCUCUCUUCUCGCCUCGUGGAAAAAGAAAAUAUUCCCCUCUGUGUUUCUCUCUACGUCUCUCUGCGCAUUUGGGACGAGACAAGCGUUUCCUUGAAGUCGGAUAACUUCAUCGGCCCGCGCAAGCCACUAGGAGGAGGUAGUUUUAUCGGACUAGUCGCAGGGACAGUGCGCAGUUUUCAGUUAGCGGCACAGUUGAACGGUCGUCGUCCGGUGUUGACGACACAGCUCAACCGUCCCAACGAACAAAGGAACGGUGAGGUCGAAGCGCGUCCGUUAGCGGAGGACGAGCGGCGGUCUUAUUUAUGAAACAAGAAACAACUUAAAAUCCACCCGCACGCUAUUUGUGUUGUGGUAUUUAGACUUUAACCGUCUUUCCCCCCCUCAAGUAUAUCCAAACAGUUAGCCUGACUCAUUCAGUCUCGUUAGCAACAUCGGCUAACGUUAGCUGUGGACAACUGGCUAGCUGACUGCUAACUUUUUUUUUUUUUAAGCAUUGUUUUGAUUCAAGAAAGGAGUUUAUUUUUUUUAUUCUAUUUUUAUUUUUAUUUUUUUUUGUGAGCGGGGCAAAAUGGCCGAAGUUUAUAUCCGAGUGGCGGAGGAGGAAAACGAGGAACCCAUGGAGAUCCCAUCCGAGGACGACGGCACGGUUCUGCUUUCUACGGUGGCCGCGCAGUUUCCAGGGGCGUGUGGCCUCCGGUUCAGGAGCCCCGUGUCCCAGUGCAUGAGGGGGGUGCGUCUGGUGGAGGGGAUCCUACACGCUCCGGAAAACGGAUGGGGAAAUGUCGUGUACGUGGUCAACUACCCGAAAGACAACAAAAGGAAAAUGGAGGAAAUCGAUGCGUCGUCAGCUGUGAAAAUGAAGAGAGGGGACAUGAAGACAUCUGAUCUGAUUGUACUCGGUCUGCCCUGGAAAACAACCGAGCAGGACCUCAAAGACUACUUUAGCACAUUUGGAGAAGUCAUCAUGGUUCAGGUAAAACGAGACGCCAAGACGGGAAACUCUAAAGGAUUUGGCUUUGUGAGGUUCACGGAGUACGAGGCUCAAGAAAAGGUCAUCUCCCAGCGCCAUAUGAUCGACGGCAGAUGGUGUGACUGCAAGCUCCCUAACUCGAAGGUGAAUCUGCAAGGUCCCGAUGAGCCGCUGAGGAGCCGGAAAGUGUUUGUAGGCCGUUGCACAGAGGACAUGACCACAGAUGACCUCCGGCAGUUCUUUAUGCAGUAUGGAGAAGUCACAGAUGUGUUCAUCCCCAAGCCGUUCCGUGCUUUUGCCUUUGUAACAUUUGCAGAUGAUCAGGUUGCCCAGUCUCUCUGUGGAGAGGACCUAAUAAUCAAAGGCGUCAGCGUUCACAUCUCAAAUGCUGAGCCCAAACAUGGAAAUAGGCAGUUUGAUCGUACAGCACGGUUUGGGAAUGGUUUUGGAGCUCAAGCAUUUGGUAGCAGCCGUAGUGGGUUAGGAAGCAGCACUAACAGUAGUCUGGCUAAUUUUGGUUCCUUCAGUCUGAACCCUGCUAUGAUGGCUGCUGCUCAGGCUGCUCUGCAGAGUAGUUGGGGGAUGAUGGGUAUGCUGGCUAGCCAACAGCAGACAUCCACGUCAGGCAGUACCUCAAGUGGAACAAGCUCUAGUAGGGACCAGAGUCAGUCAUUCGGUACAGGCAACAGCAACUACGGCACCAGCUCAGCCAGUCUUGGCUGGGGAACAGGGUCAAACUCUACAACCAGUGGGAGUGGGUUUAGCUCAGGUUUUGGGUCCAGUAUGGAGUCAAAGUCAUCUGGGUGGGGUAUGUAAGUUAAGUGUUUGUAUGGUAAGUAUUGUGACAAAGAUGAGUCUUUUCAAAAGUUUAUUUCUGGUGUUGAUGCGUAUCUGAAAACUUAACACUUUUGUGGAAGAUGUUUUGUACAUUUGGAAAAAAUGCUAAAGAUUUAAUUUAGAAAGUGUUGAAGUGAGUUGUUUACCAGGAUGUCCGACUAAAGUGCUAUUUUUGACGUCUCAUUUGUUUGUAUCCAUUUCAACUGGAUUCUCUAAUGCAUGUAUUGUGAAAUGUGAUAACCAUUUUGAAAAUGCAUGAAUGUUUGUGGUUCACCAUUAUCCGGCUUUGUCAUCGAUUUUUAAAAGGCAAUCUUGCAUUGGGAAGAAUCUGGUUGAAACCUAAAUGUUUUAAGUGCAACUUUAUUUGCAGUCAAGUUCUGUGGAAAAGCCUUCAUUGAAAUCUCUUCUGCAGUUCACCUCUCUUCCAUUUUCCUGUGAGGAAGUUCCUCUUUGGCAGCAUUCUUGGGGUGAUAUCGGUAUCAUUCUCCCUCUUCCCACCUGUAAAUGCUAUGCCAUCAAAGAACGGCUUCACUCCGCAUGUUCUAAGAGACGGGACCUUGGGCUCUGCUGGUCGAGGUCUCCGUUUGAACCCUGACUGAAGUCUGUUCUGAAGGACGAAGACGGAAGUUCCAACACUUUCAGUGUGUGGCCUUCUCAGACAUGACAUGGGGUAGUACCUGUCUUUUUGCUGCUUUUGAUGGCUUGUCAGAGUGAAUUAUCCCUUUUUUUUCCAUUACUCACAGCUACUUUUAGAGGGAAGUUCUUGGGGAAUCAUUGUCUUUAUUUGAACUUUAACAGAUGAGCUCAGUAAUGUGGCAUCACCUCGCAAGCAAUGUUUUAAAAAGAAAAUGUAAAUCUAAUUUGGCUCAAGUAGUAAGAACUAAUGGCACAUUGCUGAGCUGUGAAAUUAGUGAUGGGGAUUUUUAGAUUGCCUUAUAUAUUCAGUGGCCACUUUAUUAGGUACGCCUGUACAAUCUUGCAAUUUAACAACUGUUCUGCUAUGAAUGGUAUUUUUAUGAAGUUUGUAAUAUGAUUGUGUUGACAUUGUUUGACAUUUGAGAGUUUAAUUCUAAGUUCAUAGUCUUAGGUGAUGUUUUCCUUACAGGGCUACAGUAUAUUGAGGUUUUUCUGAUUUGUUUCCAUCCCUAUUUACGUACACAGAGGAGAAUAUUAGACACCUGAAUAUAAAGCACUCAGUAUGUCAUAAAGGUGGCAUUAUGGCAGGUGUAUUGGAUUGCAUUAGAUUGCACAUGUGUACCUAAUAAAGUGGUCACUGACUGUACAUUAUGGAUAGUUUGCCUGACAGUCUUAAGUCCAUUUGAGGUUUCCCCACAUAUUUAGAUAAUUGUUAUAUUUUGGGGAAAUUUGGCAGGUUUAUAAUUUAUAUAAAUGACUAAACUGCUCUAAUAGAAGAUUUUGUAGUCCGUGUCACUUUGACAGUGCUUUUACAAAAACAACCUACAUUUGUAUCAGUUCAUACGUUUUUUUAUUGAAUGUCAAACCGGUGCCAACUGCACUACAUUUUGACAUCAGCAGGUCCCAGGACGGAUAAGUCGGAAGUUAUUUGCUCUAAAUCUGCAGAAAGUGUAAAAUAAAAGUACUGUAAUGUGACAUUAGAUCUCAUGCUGUAGGUUAGUUUAAAGAUGAAAUGCAUAAUUCCCAUGAAAGAAUGAUUAUAGCACCUUUAGGACACUGAACUCACUGUCAUGUAUUAGUCAGCCUUCAUGUUUAUUUGAAUGUUGGGUACAAGUGAGACACUGCAGGGCCUGCCUGUGUCUUGUCCUUAUUGUCUGCUUUCCUCCUCCUCAGUGUCUCUGCUCUUCCUCUUCCCAGUACUCUUCUUUUUCAAAUCCCUCUGCUCCUGGUUCAGUUCCUCGCUUUUAUUUUGUAUGUAGAUGGACUGAAAUAAAUAAAGGCAAAUUAAACAUUCAAUUUGCUGUCUGCUGUAGAAUAUAUAUACCCCUACACAGUUCCAGUCUUCUGUAUUAUGAGGAUGAAAGGUGGCUCGUAAAUUACUACACACAUACAUAUAGGACAUAAAACUCUGUACAAUUCCUUUCUGACAAUGGAAUAACUCACUAGUGCAGUACUGCGACGAGCUACGAGCUUCACAUCUUCUGUAGACACAGUGCUUCUUUUAGCAUGCCUGAAAUUAGAGAGUUAGAGAUUAUUCUCCUUCUAUAUGCUGGAUUAAGACAAUUGAACAAAAGAUCUAAUCAGGUAUUUUGGCUAAAGUACAAGACAGUUCAGGGUUAAUUUAUCUGUUAAUAUGGUUACAAAAAUAAAAGGUUCUUACCUGGCAAAGGCCUCCAGGUCUUUAGCAAAUAUAUCUGGGGAAAAGCCAACAGUGAGAUGUUUACUUUAGACUGACCUGUGGCAAUUAUGAAAUGGAAUUAUAUUGAACAUUAUUUCUAAUAUUUCGUUCACCCUCUAUUUACAUACAUAUGGCCUCAGAAUAUUAAAGUACUUUGUAGUUAGUUACACAUAUAAAUUCUUCAGUCAACACAGCAGGAGUUUAUCUGGACUAAACUGGAUGGAUAAAUUUAUUCAAUGACCACAUCUUUCCAAAUUCACUAUUUUUCACACGUUUUACACGUUUUUAAUAAAAUAACUCAAAAUUUAAGUAGGUGGCAAUCUUUUGCAUCAACAACAUUUAGCUUUUCAGUUUCAUAUAAUCUAUAUAAACGAGCAGAUCUAUAUUCGAACAUUAACUCAGCCAGACACAAGAGUUGGCCGGGAGACGGAGAGGAGUACGUUAUGUGUGGUAACAAUGCACUGAAUGCUGCCUGGAUAUAUCUGCAGAUUGCCAGAGAUGGAUGGAGCAUACAAUGUGAAGUGGUUAGUGUGGUCAAAUGCAGAAGAAGGGUUGUGUAGCACUGCUGUACGUCUGUAGGAAUUACAGUAGUAGCUACCCUUUACGUGUGUGUGUGGUAUAUAACACUUUUUGUAUUACAUUACUGGAUUUACUUUGCAUUUUGGGAUAAUUUCGCAAAAGGGGUUAAAAAUAAAACAUCGAAGCACACGGCAGGAUUUCUGAUUUAUUUCAAUUCAAUGCAAUUUUAUUUGUAUAGCGCCAAAUCAUAACAGAAGUUACACUGACACGUUUCAGGUAGAGCGGGUCUCUUGUGUUUGUUUUUUUUAUACUAUUUUUGGGAACAUUUUGUGUUUGUUUUUUUUACAUACAUAAGAGCUGACAGUAAAUGAGGUGACAAGGUUCAGCCAGGUUCCUGUGUUGCAACUCAAACCAGGGCUAAUGUGAUUACAUGGUCAGCGUCUUUAAACCCUUACGGCAAGUAUACUGUGGCCUUUAGAGCAACAGGAUACCUCAGUACUGUAGUAACGGUAGACUGAGUUGAUGCCGAUUGAGACCAACUAUUGUACCAAGAUGCAUGCUGGUAAACAACUGUGUGAAAGUUCUGGAAAAACACUUGAGAAAACACAAAGCUAUGUAUUAUUGGAUUGGACAAAAUGUACAAAUGUACCCAAAUGUACCCAAUAAACCAGUAACUCAGUUGAUUUGUGUGACUGGAUCUGCUGCUGGGUUGUAUAAAUGAUGCUUUGUAAUGAUGUGUUGUUAUAAUAUGUUACAUUUAUAAAGAGGAGAAGGAGAGCGGGCACACCUUGCUGCCCAGUAUGUAUUAACAUGCCACAACCUGAGGGACAGUGAGUGAUCAGUGUUUCCUAACCUUUUCCAUUAAAAGACCCUUCUUGUAUCAUUGAGUAAACCCUGACUACGUGACAUACUUUAUGGGUAUUUCAGAUUAUAGUCAAUGCACAGCACUACCACUACUGACUGAGCAAUUUAGAUGAUUGUUGAGCUGAUUAUGUCCAGUGAAUAUUACCCAGAGAUGAGUUUUCCUCAUAUUUUUGGCAACUUUUUAUACAAUUCUGUCUGUAUUAUGUUUUUUAUUUAUUUUUUGCCAAUCAUACAUAUUAUUAAUUUGUGACAAAUUCAGUGUUUAAAAUCCUGAGAUAUACUACUGUGUAUAUUUCUAAGUUUUCUUACACCCCUUAAAAAAUCACUGAAGCUUUGGUGACCCCUAAUGGGGGUCCCGACCCUCAGGUUGGGGUAUACUGACCUACACACACACACAAAUACACAAUUGUUGUUGUUUAUAGUUUUGUAUUUUUUCUACUCAUUUUUACCACUCUGUAUAUAUUUGAUACUUGCUCUGGCUUCACUGUUAAUCGUCUGUUUCCAUGCCAAUAAAGCCCCUUUGUAUUGAACA